This is a non-coding RNA of Triticum aestivum (bread wheat), 95 nucleotides long. NCBI's taxonomy places the organism in Eukaryota, Viridiplantae, Streptophyta, Magnoliopsida, Poales, Poaceae. The record is from Rfam.
CCAUGGCUGUGAUGAUUAACAGCUUCAGCAAACAUGCCAGUUCUGCUUCUGAGAAUUCAUGACUGAAAAAUCUGUUAACAAGAUCUGAGCCAUUU